This is a non-coding RNA of Pimephales promelas (fathead minnow), 970 nucleotides long. The record is from RefSeq and is a predicted model, not a curated record. NCBI's taxonomy places the organism in Eukaryota, Metazoa, Chordata, Actinopteri, Cypriniformes, Leuciscidae.
UUUACUGUUUUCUGUCUCCGAGGGUUUGAUCCUGCUGGCUGACACGGCUUGUAUACAUGGAUUUGUUUCCUCAUGUGGAUCGACUCCAGUCCAGAGACCCACAAUCCUCUCUGAUGAGCUGCUGUACACAUCUCUCAGUGAAGCUUCAUUCUCAGUUAGCAACGAGGAGAUUCACCCUGAUUACACCACGACCAUUUACCACAUCAUGCCAAAUUAAUAUUAUAAUAUGAAGAAACUCUGCGGUUACUUACUUUACACCACUGAUGCCAAUAAUGCUUUAACCUUAAAGGGUUAGUUCACCCAAAAAUGAUAAUUCUGUCAGUAAUUACUCUCAUGUUGUUACAAGCCCGAUAGACUUUCGUUCAUCUUCGAAACACAAAUGAAGGUAUUUAUGAAAACUGAGAGCUUUCUCACUCCUUCAUAGACUUCUAUGUAAUUUCAUCUGCCGGCCCAGAAAGUUAUUAAAGACAUUGUUAAAAUAGUCAAAGUGACUACAGCAGCUCAAUCUUAAGUUAAUCAAGCGACGAGAAUACUUUUUGAACAGUGUAAGUAUUCUCAUCGCUUCAUAACAUUAAGGAACUCUGGCCCUUGAAAGUUGCAGUAACGUUGCUGUCAAUGGAGGACCAGAAAUCACUCAGAUUUCAUCUAAAAUAUCAUCAUUUGUGUUCUGAAGAUGAUCGAAGGACGUAUGGGUUUGGAACGACAUGAGGGUGAGUAAUUACUGACAGCAGAGCUCACGCAUUGGCCGAGAGACACCUGCAUUUGAUUGGUCUCACACGCCACACCCCUGAUUUCUCACGCUGAAGUCAAUCCCGUCAUUCACAUGCUGGUCGAUGAGUUUUUCUAUAUAUCUACCUAUAUAUCUACCUGUUGAGCCACUCUAACCCUAACCCUAACCCCUAACCCUAAGGGCGCACUAUUCCGAAUUCAGGAACAUUCUAGUAUGAUCCAUGCAAACAGCCAACGCCUG